CAACCUGCCGACAACACUGGGAUAGCCUUUCGAAAGAAAGAUUAAUACCGGAUGGCAUAAUUAUUCCGCAUGGGAUGAUUAUUAAAGAAUUUCGGUUGUCGAUGGGGAUGCGUUCCAUUAGGCAGUUGGCGGGGUAACGGCCCACCAAACCUACGAUGGAUAGGGGUUCUGAGAGGAAGGUCCCCCACAUUGGAACUGAGACACGGUCCAAACUCCUACGGGAGGCAGCAGUGAGGAAUAUUGGUCAAUGGACGAGAGUCUGAACCAGCCAAGUAGCGUGAAGGAUGACUGCCCUAUGGGUUGUAAACUUCUUUUAUACGGGAAUAAAGUGAGCCACGUGUGGCUUUUUGUAUGUACCGUAUGAAUAAGGAUCGGCUAACUCCGUGCCAGCAGCCGCGGUAAUACGGAGGAUCCGAGCGUUAUCCGGAUUUAUUGGGUUUAAAGGGAGCGUAGGCGGGUUGUUAAGUCAGUUGUGAGAGUUUGCGGCUCAACCGCAAAAUUGCAGUUGAUACUGGCGACCUUGAGUGCAACAGAGGUAGGCGGAAUUCGUGGUGUAGCGGUGAAAUGCUUAGAUAUCACGAAGAACUCCGAUUG
This 594-nucleotide ribosomal RNA is filed under the name uncultured Bacteroidota bacterium. RNAcentral describes it as "bacterial SSU rRNA". It matches the Rfam family "Bacterial small subunit ribosomal RNA", at positions 122 to 715 of the family's 1533-position model. Lineage: Bacteria; Pseudomonadati; Bacteroidota. The record is from RNAcentral.